Long non-coding RNA from Centruroides sculpturatus (bark scorpion), 1960 nucleotides. RefSeq lists it as uncharacterized. The transcript has 3 exons. NCBI's taxonomy places the organism in Eukaryota, Metazoa, Arthropoda, Arachnida, Scorpiones, Buthidae. The record is from RefSeq and is a predicted model, not a curated record.
GAAAAACCAGCAUUAGACUUUGUACCGCAUUUCCAUGGAAGAACUUUUGAGAUUCGCAGAAUAGGUAGGCAGUGUGGUGUGACCUUAACCAACCACUUAUAAAACUGGUUGGUGAAACGUCACACCACACCCGUUGUUGAAAUCGUAUAAGCUUUCAAUAUUCGCAAAACGUCACACCAGUGAAAUGUAGCACCCGCUUUGUUAAAGUUUAUGUAUCGUUUGGAAGUUACUUCAAAGUAAAUUUAACGUUAACGCUUCACCAUUAUGCCACAGUUAUGCCAUCGGCAUAGACGAGAACUUUUGAAGAACAGUGGAAGAAAUAUUGGUGAGGUGAGGCUAAAUAAGACGGGAACCCCGAGGAAUGCCAAUUAGAAGGCGAAAUGAAGAAAAUGAGAAAUCGUCCAGGCUUUUGGUGUAAUUAGAGAUUAGGAAGUAAUUGUUCAAUCAUUGUAGUAAAGCUAGGAAUUGAAGAGAGAAUGAUCAGACAGUAUUUCUUAUGUUCUUCUUUUGGAAUUGUUUGGAAUUUAUCACUGCCGAGGAAUUAAGGUUUUUGGUGAUGUUUUAUUGAAUAUUAGAGUUAAAAAUGGUAAAAAUUUGGAAUGAAAAUCAUACCGGAUAGAAUAAGGAAAAUACUAAAUAAAAAAAAGCAGAACAAAAACUAAAGAUAAUUGUGCGUAAACUACUUGUUCGCUCGAAGAAAAUUCAAGAUUCAAACAAAAAGAGUUCUUUUGUAAUGACACAUGCAAUUUUGGAAGUUUUCACAAUAGAGUUGACAUUCACGAUUGAAAAGGAAUGACUUUGCACUCCCGACCCACCGGUUGCCAAGUGGAUAAAACUACUGAACCCUAGUAGUUGGUCGUGGGUUCGAGCCUCACCAGCGAGGCUGAUCACGAGGCUGAGUUUUUCGGGUUUUUUUCACUCGUUUAGCCCAAAUAGAAACCACAUCCUCCAGGGAUGCCUCUCCUCUUGGCAGAUCGCCCAUAUUGCCGCAUCCCACUAAACCAAAAUUUGCACUUUGGUGUCAUUUUAGAAAACUACCAAAUAUAAUAUUGGAGUCUCAAAAUAAUUACUGUUAUCUCGUCGGUUUGACACGAACUUUUUUCAAAAACUCUAAAAACGAAAAAUAUAAGCAAUCUUAAUGCUGCAAUGUGCAAUGAUUAAAUAUUGCCAGGUAAAAUAUGUUUUAUCUAUUAAUUCUAGGAACAGAUAAUCAGUAGAGAUAAAAGUGUGAUACAAAUAUUAUUUAUUUAUCUUUAAUCUUAAGUUAAAAGGUUACUAAUAUGUGACAAUUUUACUGUUUUAAUAUUAGUAUUAUAGAGUUUAAUUACAGAAGAUUCUUUGACAAUUUUUACCUUUUAUGUAGAAAUGUUAUUGUUUUGAUACUGUUGCCUAUUUAAUAACACUUAAAAUUUGUUAUAUAAGUUAUUUUUUUACAUAUAAAUUUACUAAAUACUUCGUAUAUUAAAAUAUUAACAUGUUUUACGUAACAAUAACUGGUAACUUUAUUCACGUUUAACUAGAAUUGGGGUUCUCACCUACAGAACAAAAACAAAACUUUCUGCUGUUAUUUUAUAAGGUUAAAGAGAAUUAAUAAUAAAUUAAAUAAGUAAAUAUUGACAAUAAGACUAAAUGAAUUUCAUACGGAGAUGGCACCAUUCAUCAGUAUAAUUUUUUAUUUCUCCAAACACGGUUGACUAAUCGUGUGUUUGUUCGUAUAUCUUUGUUAAUAAAAUACCACAAUCAAUAAAUUACAAUAUAAAAACACUAUCUACAGUAAAAUCUGCCAAAAACGGAACCCGAAUAAAGCGGAAACUUUCCUAAACGAAAAAAAUAUUCGGUACCGUUUGAGUCCGUUUUACACAGGUUUUACUGUAUAUUAAAUUUAUUAUUAAAACAUGCAUUUAUAAGGGCUAUUUUUAUUAUUUGUAUAGUCGUAAAUAGUAUUGAUUUAUAAUAAGUA